CCCUUAGAUGUUCUGGGCUGCACGCGCGCUACACUGAUGCACUCAACGAGUUUACGACCUUGCCCGAUAGGGUUGGGUAAUCUUUUUAAAAUGCAUCGUGAUGGGGUUAGAUUAUUGCAAUUAUUAAUCUUCAACGAGGAAUUCCUAGUAAGCGCGAGUCAUCAGCUCGUGCUGAUUACGUCCCUGCCCUUUGUACACACCGCCCGUCGCUCCUACCGAUUGAGUGCUCAGGUGAAUAAUUCGGACUGCAGCAAUGUUUGGAUCCCGAACGUUGCAGCGGAAAGUUUAGUGAACCUUAUCACUUAGAGGAAGGAGAAGUCGUAACA
Molecule: ribosomal RNA, 326 nt
Filed under: uncultured eukaryote
Lineage: Eukaryota
Description: partial 18S ribosomal RNA
Rfam family: Eukaryotic small subunit ribosomal RNA
Source: RNAcentral